This 274-nucleotide ribosomal RNA is filed under the name uncultured bacterium. Its description in RNAcentral is "partial 16S ribosomal RNA". It matches the Rfam family "Bacterial small subunit ribosomal RNA", at positions 523 to 796 of the family's 1533-position model. The record is from RNAcentral.
AUACGGAGGGUGCAAGCGUUAUUCGGAAUCACUGGGCGUAAAGGACGCGUAGGCGGGUUGGCAGGUCAGAUGUGAAAUCCUACAGCUUAACUGUAGAACUGCAUUUGAAACUGCUAACCUAGAGUAUGGGAGGGGGAGAUGGAAUUAGUGGUGUAGGGGUAAAAUCCGUAGAUAUCACUAGGAAUACCGAAAGCGAAGGCGAUCUCCUGGAACAUAACUGACGCUAAGGCGUGAAAGCGUGGGGAGCAAACAGGAUUAGAAACCCCAGUAGUCC